Molecule: long non-coding RNA, 315 nt
Organism: Balaenoptera musculus (blue whale)
Lineage: Eukaryota; Metazoa; Chordata; Mammalia; Artiodactyla; Balaenopteridae
Exons: 3
Source: RefSeq, a predicted model, not a curated record
AGUAGUUCUCUGGAAAAAGCUUGGCCUUUUCCCCGUCCUGUGGAUAGUUGGCGCUGCUUGAGGAGAUGACGGGUGUGCAAAUGGAUCGUUUUAGUUAAACAGGAUGUGCAGGAGCAGCCCCAGUGCAGCAACAGAGCAUCCAUCUGGAGGUGGCUACGGCCAUGAAACUGCUCCAGUCACAUGACAAGAGGUCCAUAGCAGGUGGGCCACAGGAUUUCCGGAGCCUUGACCAGGGUGGUGUGUUGUAGAAAAGCACAAACGACAGUCAAGGAUCCAGUAAAGGGCCAGCUGCCCCUCCAGCCUCCUUGAACAACA